CAGAGGUGGCAAGCGUUGUUCGGAAUUACUGGGCGUAAAGGGCGCGUAGGCGGCCUUCUAAGUCAGACGUGAAAUCCCCCGGCUUAACCUGGGAACUGCGUCUGAUACUGGAGGGCUCGAGUUUGGGAGAGGGAUGUAGAAUUCCAGGUGUAGCGGUGAAAUGCGUAGAUAUCUGGAGGAAUACCGGUGGCGAAGGCGGCAUCCUGGACCAACACUGACGCUGAGGCGCGAAAGCUAGGGGAGCAAACGGGAUUAGAUACCCCGGUAGUCCUAGCCCUAAACGAUGAAUGCUUGGUGUGGCGGGUAUCGAUCCCUGCCGUGCCGAAGCUAACGCAUUAAGCAUUCCGCCUGGGGAGUACGGUCGCAAGGCUG
RNAcentral lists this ribosomal RNA (372 nucleotides) under uncultured organism. RNAcentral's name for it is "bacterial SSU rRNA". It matches the Rfam family "Bacterial small subunit ribosomal RNA", at positions 526 to 896 of the family's 1533-position model. The record is from RNAcentral.